Molecule: ribosomal RNA, 637 nt
Filed under: Marasmius epiphyllus var. plantaginis
Lineage: Eukaryota; Fungi; Basidiomycota; Agaricomycetes; Agaricales; Marasmiaceae
Description: eukaryotic LSU rRNA
Rfam family: Eukaryotic large subunit ribosomal RNA
Source: RNAcentral
UGACCUCAAAUCAGGUAGGACUACCCGCUGAACUUAAGCAUAUCAAUAAGCGGAGGAAAAGAAACUAACAAGGAUUCCCCUAGUAACUGCGAGUGAAGAGGGAAAAGCUCAAAUUUAAAAUCUGGCAGCUUCGCUGUCCGAGUUGUAAUUUAGAGAAGUGUUACCCGUGCUGGACCGUGUACAAGUCUUCUGGAACGGAGCGUCAUAGAGGGUGAGAAUCCCGUCUYUGACACGGACUACCAGUACAUUGUGGUACACUCUCAAAGAGUCGUGUUGUUUGGGAAUGCAGCACUAAAUGGGUGGUAAAUUCCAUCUAAAGCUAAAUAUUGGCGAGAGACCGAUAGCAAACAAGUACCGUGAGGGAAAGAUGAAAAGAACUUUGGAAAGAGAGUUAAACAGUACGUGAAAUUGUUAAAAGGGAAACGCUUGAAGUCCAGUCGCGUUGGUUGGAAAUCAGUCUUGCUUUUGCUUGAUGUACUUUCUAAUUGACGGGUCAACAUCAGUUUUGACCGUUGGAAAAAGAUUAGAGGAAUGUGGCAUCUUCGGAUGUGUUAUAGCCUUUAGUUGUAUACAACGGUUGGGACUGAGGAACUCAGCACGCCGAAAGGCCAGGUACUUGUACCAUGUACGUGCUUAG